This is a long non-coding RNA of Prionailurus viverrinus (fishing cat), 160 nucleotides long. RefSeq lists it as uncharacterized. Lineage: Eukaryota; Metazoa; Chordata; Mammalia; Carnivora; Felidae. The transcript has 3 exons. The record is from RefSeq and is a predicted model, not a curated record.
GGUGGCAGAAGCAUGUGCUCCAUGCUCUAAUUUCCAGGCAAACCACGACCCCCGCCCCGAGUGUGGUUCCACAGGGUAUGUGGAGAAAAUUACAUGCAGCUCAUCAAAGAGGAAUGAAUUGAAAAGCUGCCGCUCUGCUCUGUUAUACACAUCUGACUCU